This 253-nucleotide ribosomal RNA is filed under the name uncultured bacterium. Its description in RNAcentral is "partial 16S ribosomal RNA". It matches the Rfam family "Bacterial small subunit ribosomal RNA", at positions 524 to 776 of the family's 1533-position model. The record is from RNAcentral.
GACAGAGGGGGCAAGCGUUGCUCGGAAUUACUGGGCGUAAAGGGCGCGUAGGCGGGCUGGCAAGUCGGUCGUGAAAUCCUUCGGCUCAACCGAAGAACGUCGAUCGAUACUGCUGUUCUUGAGGGUUGCAGAGGAGACUGGAAUUCCCGGUGUAGCGGUGAAAUGUGUAGAGAUCGGGAGGAACACCGGUGGCGAAGGCGGGUCUCUGGGCAAUUCCUGACGCUGAGGCGCGAAAGCGUGGGGAGCAAACGGG